This is a long non-coding RNA of Xiphophorus hellerii (green swordtail), 440 nucleotides long. RefSeq lists it as uncharacterized. The record is from RefSeq and is a predicted model, not a curated record. Lineage: Eukaryota; Metazoa; Chordata; Actinopteri; Cyprinodontiformes; Poeciliidae. The transcript has 2 exons.
GAUACUCUUUUACAAACAUAUUAUAAUCACAUUACUUGUCCUUUUCAUUACUAUUAAAAUUAAAUAAAGGAAAAGAAAGCAACUAAAUACAAUAUGGUUUACCAUUUUAGAAUAGAAAUUAGCUUAACCUAGCCUUCACUUAUUCUUAAAAAAAAAAAUCUAAGAGAAAAUGUUCAAAGUACUAAAAUACACAUAUAAUGCCACUCAAACAUGUACACUGCAACCUACCACUCAUAUGAACGCACACUCGAAAGAAAUCACAAAACCCCCCUCAAACAUCACGCCCGCUGACCUGCACAGCUUUUCAACAAUGUUUUGCUAUAUGAAAAAAAAAAAAAUACUACCCACAAACGCAACCUGGUGGCGAAGCUAGGAACUACAACAUGGAUUUCAGAACAAGUAUAUAGAUAGAUAAACAUCAACUACCGCAUUUUCCGGAC